GCCCAAGUGGCGGAAUGGCAGACGCAAAGGACUUAAAAUCCUUCGGAGGAAACUCCGUGCCGGUUCGAGUCCGGCCUUGGGCA
RNAcentral lists this transfer RNA (83 nucleotides) under Firmicutes bacterium CAG:552. It matches the Rfam family "tRNA". Rfam says of the family: Transfer RNA (tRNA) molecules are approximately 80 nucleotides in length. Their secondary structure includes four short double-helical elements and three loops (D, anti-codon, and T loops). The record is from Rfam by way of RNAcentral. Lineage: Bacteria; Bacillati; Bacillota.